This 594-nucleotide long non-coding RNA is filed under the name Panax ginseng (ginseng). RNAcentral's name for it is "long non-coding RNA (PGIN_LNC005577)". The record is from RNAcentral. Lineage: Eukaryota; Viridiplantae; Streptophyta; Magnoliopsida; Apiales; Araliaceae.
GUAUCCGGCCUGCCAUACUUUCCAAGUAUCAAACUACAAGAAAGAAAUACACAAGUUACUGUUGGGCUAAACGUUAUCAAGAGUUAAGAGAGUAAUUGAGGGUAAUAUUGAGAAUUUAUAAGCGAGAUAUUUCUCACUUAUUAUCGUAGAAGAUACAAAAGCUACAUCAAAAUGAUUUUCAGACUUGUGCACACUUGAGUUGAAUCAAAUUGGCCUUGAUACUUAUUUAAAAAGAAUUCUCAGUUCAAAUGACUUAUUAGAACAAACAGCAAAUGACUUAUUAGAACAAACAGCAAACGGAUCAUCUUCUUGACCACCCAAUUGUUUUCUUUAGAGCAUUAUACUAAUACACGCGAGCCUUUGGUGGGAUUGUUUCAAUCUCAUCAUCUAAUGUGUACAUGUGAACAGGCCUGUAGUCAAGCCGAAUCUUCCCAUUCUCCCAAUAUCUGCAGAUUACCAGUAGCUGAUUUCAGAAAACAUACAUCAUUUCCAAUGCAAAUAUUCAGGAGAAGCAGCUGAUAAUGUGUGAUUGAAGAUUACCAGAAAAGAAAAAGGCUAGUCAAUAAACAUAACUCAUCUGAAUUGCUACAGUAA